UUCUUCCUCAGGAACCUCCACC
Molecule: microRNA, 22 nt
Filed under: Fragaria vesca subsp. vesca
Lineage: Eukaryota; Viridiplantae; Streptophyta; Magnoliopsida; Rosales; Rosaceae
Description: fve-miR11293
Source: miRBase by way of RNAcentral